GCCAGCUGUCUGCAUUAUAUGCAAAAAAAGAGAAAAGUUUGAGACUGUCAGGAAUUCUCGCCAGAGAGUGAAACUUGUCAAGGCAGAGACUGUUGAUGGUGGUAAGUUAAUACUUUCUCUGUAAUCUAUUGUUAAAAUUUUCCUUAAGCUAAGUGGAUGUAUGCCUUGUCUAUAUCUUUAGCCAUGCGGACAGAAACAUAUUUAGGCCUAUAGGAAAAAGGUUUAAUAAUGUCAUCAUAAUGUUUAUGUUUGUUUGGCUCAGCUAUGUUGAUAAAUGCAAUUUUCUUGGAAUGAUGCCCCAUGGUAUACAUUUUUUUGGAAAUAUGUACCAUGAUUCGGUUUAUAUCGACAUGUCUAUAAUAAAUCUUUUAUAUUUCUAGGAUUGCUGCGAAAAGCAGCAGAAGCAAAAAAGGAUGAGAGUGUGCUUGUACACAUAAGAGAUAAGGACUGUGUAGCUCUUGAGGUCUCCUAUCACAGAACCUGCAAUGGAUCAUACACCAAAUUCUUGACAAGAUCUAAAUCAGAAAGUCAGACACCAGAUGGAAGAUUGUCUGCAAGUUACAAAAAGUUUUGCAGAACUGUUGUUCAACAGAGACUGAUAAGUAACCAGGAAGUUCUACAAAUGUCAAAAUUGGUAAACAUCUUUAAAAGGACUGUCAAAGAAAAAGAAGGGAUCUCAAUUGAACAAUACAGGGCUGACUACUUGAAGGACAAAUUGAAAAAGGACUUUCCCCAACUUCAAUUUCACUGGCCAUCCAGGAAAAACCUGAGUGAAAUUGUCUUCAGACUGCUUAUCUGUCAUGGAUGAUAUGGUCCCAGAGUCUGAAACAGACAGUGUACAGACAGAAUCAACUGAGCAAGCUGAAGAUGAUGAAGGACUGGGUAAAACAUCAACUGCUGUUACUGACAUGGAGACAACCAGGAUAUUGUACAGUGCAGGUAUGAUUAUAAGAGGUAUUCUUAAAAAUUCUCCUCAGAUGCUGUCUGUGUGGCCACCAACAGCAUCUGAUCUGAAUAGCAAAAGUUGUCAUGCCAGGGUUCCCCUUGAACUGCACUAUUUGAUGGCCUGGUUGCUUGGUGUCUCAGAUGACCCUACCCUUUCAGCAAAGGUUGAAGUGCCUGAUGAUAUAAACCCUAAAUUGGUCUCAAUA
Fundulus heteroclitus (mummichog) is the source of this 1151-nucleotide long non-coding RNA. RefSeq lists it as uncharacterized. The record is from RefSeq and is a predicted model, not a curated record. NCBI's taxonomy places the organism in Eukaryota, Metazoa, Chordata, Actinopteri, Cyprinodontiformes, Fundulidae. The transcript is spliced from 3 exons.